Molecule: ribosomal RNA, 253 nt
Filed under: uncultured bacterium
Lineage: Bacteria
Description: partial 16S ribosomal RNA
Rfam family: Bacterial small subunit ribosomal RNA
Source: RNAcentral
UACGUAGGGGGCAAGCGUUGUCCGGAAUCAUUGGGCGUAAAGAGCGUGUAGGCGGCCAGAUAAGUCCGCUGUGAAAUCUCGAGGCUCAACUUCGAGCUGUCGGUGGAAACUGUCUGGCUAGAGUCCGGAAGAGGAGAAUGGAAUUCCUGGUGUAGCGGUGAAAUGCGCAGAUAUCAGGAGGAACACCCGUGGCGAAGGCGGUUCUCUGGGACGGUACUGACGCUGAGACGCGAAAGCGUGGGGAGCAAACAGG